This 432-nucleotide ribosomal RNA is filed under the name uncultured bacterium. RNAcentral's name for it is "partial 16S ribosomal RNA". It matches the Rfam family "Bacterial small subunit ribosomal RNA", at positions 29 to 507 of the family's 1533-position model. The record is from RNAcentral.
AACGAACGCUGGCGGCAUGCCUAACACAUGCAAGUCGAACGAGACCUUCGGGUCUAGUGGCGCACGGGUGCGUAACGCGUGGGAACCUGCCCUUAGGUUCGGAAUAACUCCCCGAAAGGGGUGCUAAUACCGGAUAAUGUCUUCGGACCAAAGAUUUAUCGCCUUUGGAUGGGCCCGCGUUGGAUUAGCUAGUUGGUAGGGUAAAAGCCUACCAAGGCGACGAUCCAGAGCUGGUCUGAGAGGAUGAUCAGCCACACUGGGACUGGGCCACGGCCCAGACCGCAGGGAGAGGCGGGAGUGGGGAAUAUUGGGGAGGGAGCCAGAUCCUGCACCGGCACUGCCGGGAGGGUGGCGAGCGCGUUGGGGUUCGAAUUCGCUUUUGCCGGAGAGUAAAAGACCGGAACGGGGAAAGAAGCACCGGCUAACCCCGGU